AACGAACGCUGGCGGCAUGCCUAACACAUGCAAGUCGAACGAGACCUUCGGGUCUAGUGGCGCACGGGUGCGUAACGCGUGGGAACCUGCCCUUAGGUUCGGAAUAACUCCCCGAAAGGGGUGCUAAUACCGGAUAAUGUCUUCGGACCAAAGAUUUAUCGCCUUUGGAUAGGCCCGCGUUGGAUUAGCUAGUUGGUAGGGUAAAAGCCUACCAAGGCGACGAUCCAUAGCUGGUCUGAGAGGAUGAUCAGCCACGCUGGGACUGAGACACGGCCCAGACUCCUACGGGAGGCAGCAGUGGGGAAUAUUGGACAAUGGGCGAAAGCCUGAUCCAGCAAUGCCGCGUGAGUGAUGAAGGCCUUAGGGUUGUAAAGCUCUUUUACCCGGGAUGAUAAUGACAGUACCGGGAGAAUAAGCUCCGGCUAACUCCGUG
This 433-nucleotide ribosomal RNA is filed under the name uncultured bacterium. RNAcentral describes it as "partial 16S ribosomal RNA". It matches the Rfam family "Bacterial small subunit ribosomal RNA", at positions 29 to 507 of the family's 1533-position model. The record is from RNAcentral.